Long non-coding RNA from Myotis myotis, 1784 nucleotides. RefSeq lists it as uncharacterized. The transcript is spliced from 3 exons. Lineage: Eukaryota; Metazoa; Chordata; Mammalia; Chiroptera; Vespertilionidae. The record is from RefSeq and is a predicted model, not a curated record.
GUCCUAUGUACAAAGGGAAAGCAGGGUGAAUAAGGCAGGGAGGGCAUCUAUGGUGUCAGGAAGUCAGUGACUGUCUGGAGAAGGUUCAUAACACUAAAUGGUUAUGCAUAAGGACAUACUUUGUGUAAAAAGGCGCACUACCCGUCUUUGUGAUGAUGAUCCAAGACAGCAUAGUUAGCAGUUUAAUGACACAACAGUCCUCAGAUUAUUUCAGUGGCGGGGGAAUUUUAUCAAAUAGUCCACAUAAGGACAUUUUAUCUUAUGAUAAUCUUUCCUACAACCUGAACUCAGCCCAAGCCCCACUCACCCCCAACUUAAAAAACAAAAACCUUUACUGUUCUGUUCCCAACCAUGAAAUAGAUUCCUUAUAUGAUUUCAAUAAGCCAGAAACAUGAGUGACUGAGACGGCCAUGGCCAUGACACUGUUUAUCUGGACUCUAAACAUGUCCAGUCGAUGGAAACACAUACCAGUGUCUCAUAGCCUUACCCAUUUUCAAACCAGUUCGGAAACCACCAGCCCUUCUGACUGCCGUUGUCACCAAGUUCUGGGUUUCUAAGAAAUGAAAAAGAUGAAAAACAUUUUUAGAAAGUGAGGCAGUCCCAGACUGGGGUUUUUCCAAAUUCUUUUUAUGACAGAAAAUGAUUAAACAAAAUUUUUAAAACUGCUGGCUGGUAAAACAAACAGAAGUGAAGCUGCUCCAGGUGAAUGGGAGAGGCCAGGCCUGACAGUGCCCAGACCUCUCCUCCUGGGACAGCUCCAGCACUCGCUCAUCAUCCAGGGAGCCCCGGCAGGGCAGGAGGAGAGAAAGAGAAUGAUGGGGGGGAUGGGGACGACAGUAAUACAUAAACUCAAGUCUUGGAUCUGCCACUUACUAUUGUAUGGCUAUGAUAGGCCAUUUUCCCCUUUCUGAAUCUCCAUUUUUCUCCUCUGAAAAGUAAGAUAAUAAUACUAAUACAGGGUGGAGUAAAAGUAAGUUUAUUUGUGAGUCUACUUUUGCCCCACCCUGAAUAGUAAUAACAAUAAUAAUAAUAAUAACAAUAAACCUACCAUGAAGGCAGCUAAAUGAAAUAGCAUACAUAAAAGAGCUUUCUAAGUUGAAAAUAAAUGUAACAGGUUGUGAUCUUAAUAAAGAAACCAGCGCACCUGUCCAAGAAUGAUCUCUUUUGCUUUAACUAGGAGAACUCAGGUUGCUACAAAGUCAGCAGUCACAGCCUCAGGAAAUCUGCUUAUGUGGUGUAUCACAUUUAUUGUUUGGCAGCUAUUGUCCCCACCUUGAAUCUCCGGAAUAAAUACCACCUGAUUGUGGCGUAUGAUCUUUUUAAUGUGUUGCAGAAAUCUGAGGGUCUCUGAACCAGAAACUCAGAAACCUGUAAUCAGAAGCCACCUUCCCCACCCACAUGCAGAAGUUUCCACACUCAUCUUGAGAGUCUCCCCAAGGGGAAAGGUGAAGGUCUCAGAUGAGUAACAGCUCAGAAGCCCUGGAAAAGCCAUUAUCUCCAGGAGCCGGAAUUGCAGGGGACAGCAGUGGCAGAGGAAACCAAACCUUCCCACAACUGAAGAAUCUUCCUCUGCCCGUGGCCCCUCCCGCAGCCCUGGACCCCAUCCCCUGCUCGCUCCAGCCUCACUCACUCCAGGGCGAUGGAGAUGGAGCCAAAGACUGAGUGACAAUGCUGUGAACAGAAGAUCCUGAAAAUUGAAUAAGCUUCAGGCCCUAACAACACUUGAUGCUCUCAGCUGAAUCAGGCCAGGCCCUGGGCUAACCACUUUGUCAGCAGUUUCUCAA